GAUGAACGCUGGCGGCGUGCCUAAUACAUGCAAGUCGAACGAAACUUCUUUAUCACCGAGUGCUUGCACUCACCGAUAAAGAGUUGAGUGGCGAACGGGUGAGUAAUACGUGGGCAACCUGCCCAAAAGAGGGGGAUAACACUUGGAAACAGGUGCUAAUACCGCAUAACCAUAGUUACCGCAUGGUAACUAUGUAAAAGGUGGCUAUACUACCGCUUUUGGAUGGGCCCGCGGCGCAUUAGCUAGUUGGUAGGGUAAAGGCUUACCAAGGCAAUGAUGCGUAGCCGAAUUGAGAGGUUGAUCGGCCACAUUGGGACUGAGACACGGCCCAAACUCCUACGGGAGGCAGCAGUAGGGAAUCUUCCACAAUGGGCGAAAGCCUGAUGGAGCAACGCCGCGUGGGUGAAGAAGGUCUUCGGAUCGUAAAACCCUGUUGUUAGAGAAGAAAGUGCGUGAGAGUAACUGUUCACGUUUCGACGGUAUCUAACCAGAAAGCCACGGCUAACUACGUG
This 512-nucleotide ribosomal RNA is filed under the name uncultured bacterium. Its description in RNAcentral is "partial 16S ribosomal RNA". It matches the Rfam family "Bacterial small subunit ribosomal RNA", at positions 28 to 507 of the family's 1533-position model. The record is from RNAcentral.